CACGAGUUCAGUUUCAAAAUUACUACAGUAAUUUACGUAUUUAUCAGAAGAGAAAAAGUAGUAUUCAUGUUGAAAAGUGUAAAAGAUUAUUACUAUGAAUAUUAAUUGAUUAUGAAUUUAUUGCACGUUUGAAGGAGCACUUGGUUUCCAUUUCAAAAUUAUUGGAAUUUCAAUUUCUUUUCUUCAAUUUUUUCUUUUUCUUUUAUAAAAGAACAAAUUGUGUAUCUGAAAUAUAAUAUUUUAUUGAUACAAUAACAUAAAAGAACCAUUGGUAUAUCCUGGUGGUCAUUCAUGAACGUAUAUGAGGUGUAUAUACAAUAACAAGAAAUGUUUAUAUGAAGUAUUUCUCUUUUGUACGAAUUUUACAAAAGAUUUCACGGUUGGCUUGGUUCUAUGCCGAUUCUUUGGGUGCCAGGAAUUUUCGUCGAGAGUUCUCACUAUGCUAAACACGCGGUGCCAAAAGAAGGUGCGGAGUAUUAGAUAACCUAGCACGGAGCUUAGCAAGAGAGUUUAACGCCACGCGACCACCAAAAAUAUCUGACCCAGGUGAUGCAAGAUCUUGUCAGAGUCGUUACACAUCGUUUGGGUUGAACGCGUGCUCGAACAGUGACAGGUGUGCCGAAACAACAACCAUGCUCGAUCGUGAUCUAAGCAACUAGGAAAAGAUAAGUAUCGUUCCUAAAGGACAUUAAAAGUCCAAUAGUAAAAGAUCAUAGAUUUCCAAAGUUUGAGACGCGACCCACUAAUGGAUCAAAUAUUAAAAUAUGAGAGUAGUUUACAUGUUUAUCAAGAAAGUUUUACUCAUCAAGAAUCUUCGAUAAACAAUUUUAACAGAAAGAAGAAUAUCUUCGGUAUAUCCUAUGGAAUGUAAUUUCUUGUCCAAGUAGAUUUAUUGCUUGAUAAAUUGAACUUGAACAAGUACAAAUAUUUUGAUAUUUAGAAUGUUCAACGUCAAGUUCUUUAGAAGAAGAUGGCUUUUGAAAACAACAUAUGAAAAUAAUAGUUCAACAGCCAUUGUGAAGAGAAGAAGAAGAAGAUAAUGAAAAGAAAUGUACAAUAAUGGGAAUACUGAAAAUGAUGAUAAAGAAUGGUUUUCGAUUAAGAAUGAUGUUUUUAGAAAUUUAUUAGAGUAAGUAGAUUUACAGAAGAGAAAUUAAAGAAGAAUGCAAUUGCUGCCAAGUAAAGUUUUAAGAACACAACAGAAAAGAGUUACCAAGUAAUUAAUCAGCGGUAGUACCUUGAAAAUUUAAAGAAGCAUUAACACCUUGAAUAUAUUCUAAACGGCGACGUUUUGAUACCAGAACAAUUAUCGAGAGAUAUGGGGAUCAGUUACCAGUUAGUAACCUUGUGAGAGUACAACAAUGAAGAUUAAUUGGAUUAACUAUCAAUACUUUUAUUACUGUAGAUUAUUUGAUACAUAGAAAUAUGUCAAAAGAUCUAAAGCAACUAGAGGAAAAUGAAGAAACUUCUACAACCUAAACAUUACAACAAUCCUUCAGGAUCCAUUAGACUAAAAUUGCACUUCACAUGCUGUGAAAUCAUUUCCAAAUUUAUUGAAAGAGAAAGGGGCACAAAUAAGCACAAUGUUUCAACGUUGAAGGCUAUGAAUCCUAUGAAUAAUGAAGAUGACUUCAAAUGAAAUGUGUCAAUACUCUCACACGUUUGCCUAUGAAAACAUGGUACGCCAGGGUCUAGCUUUGGUGUUAUAAUAUGUGCCACCGUGUAUAAAAUCUCGGUCGAUGAAAAUGUCGAUAUCAUCUUUCUAGGCAGUACCUGGGAGGCCGGUUUCUAAGUUUAGCGACGAGUAGGCGGCUUUGAGCCGAGCAACACUUGAAAAUAUUUAUAUAUUGGAUGAGCGAAACGUAUUUUUAUCGGUUAUUCGCAGCGAAAAAGUACAAAUACUUUAGCCGAGAUUCUUCGACGAUACAAAAUUCAUUGAUACCAUCGAUGAUGAUAUCAAUCCAUUGGAACAACAAAUUGAAGAGCAACAUCGACAGAAGAUAUACCAGUAUACUAGAGAUACUGGAUAUACUAGUUAAUGACUAUAUAUAGCAACCAACGAUUUCUUACUAUGAAAUAACUAUGAAGAAUUUAUAUGGAGUCAGGUUUCCUGUUCCUUAGUUGAUGAUGCAAUUUUCAAAGUGAAAUUUAGUUACUCUAUAGGUAUAGAUGAAAAGAAAAUACGUAGCAUGUAUUGCUCAUAAAUUUUCAUCAUUACAUCACACGUGUUGGUACUCUUGGCACGAGAUCUUAUCAUUUUGCACGCUUUAGCCUUUUGUCUCCCACAAAAUCAGAGGGAAUCUUAACAAAGUUCUAACGAUGCUUAAUUAUUUAUUGAAUUUUAACUUGACUUUACGAGAUUCGUCAAAUCAUUUAUGUAGCUUUUCUUCCUCUUUUAUUUGUUUCUGUUCUAUAGCGGGUUUUAAGAUUUUAUUUUGAUUUAGAUUUAUUGUUUCGUUACUGGAUAUUAUGAGAACAAACAAAGAAGUAAAUUAUAAGUGAAGAGCUGCUACCGCUAAUUUACAGGCGGAAUAUUAAUUUUAGACUUUAGCGAUCUGUAAGAUAAUAUGUUGAAAUUAUGUAUGUUGCAAAAUAAUCCUCGAAAAUGUCAAGAUACGGGUAAUGGAAGUAGAGGUAAGCAGCUGUCGUUUGGCACAAGCAUAGCCACCAAGGAUAAAGAUAGAUUCUGAAGUCUUGUUCCGCGCACUGUGGCAUGUAUAGUCUUUAAUCUUUUUGCUAUAAAAGUUAGAUUUACCUGAAAA
Bombus pyrosoma is the source of this 2762-nucleotide long non-coding RNA. RefSeq lists it as uncharacterized. The record is from RefSeq and is a predicted model, not a curated record. The transcript is spliced from 2 exons. Lineage: Eukaryota; Metazoa; Arthropoda; Insecta; Hymenoptera; Apidae.